This is a long non-coding RNA of Rhododendron vialii, 1152 nucleotides long. RefSeq lists it as uncharacterized. The record is from RefSeq and is a predicted model, not a curated record. The transcript is spliced from 3 exons. NCBI's taxonomy places the organism in Eukaryota, Viridiplantae, Streptophyta, Magnoliopsida, Ericales, Ericaceae.
UUGCGCGUCAUUUCAAACCCGCAAACCAAAAAACGGAGGGAAGACCAAAACCGGUCAGGCGGCAAAAACUCUCCAAAACUCCCCUCUCUCUCUCUCUCUCUCACACACACACACACACACACACUCCAGAAAACCUACCACACAAGCUUUCUGAAUUGGCCAGUUCGCUCAGUAUCUCUUCGUUGAUGCGUAAGAUUUCUGCAGCCCAACGAAGAGAUUUCCUAUGAUCAAUUUCCGAGGCUGGAGAAGUACAGCUUUCCAAACCUCUGCUGAGUAAGAACACUCAAAGAACAACUGGUGAUCAACACCGCCCAACAACAAAAAAGGAAGGAAGAAAGGGCAAAUGUUGGUAUCUAACUAGUAACGCCUGCAUCUGGAGCUCGCAAGCAAAAUUUCAGGCAAUACCUGGAAGGCUGGAAAUGAUAUUUUUUUACGUGACUUUUUAUGGAGGGGGUAAUGGCUCCACUGGAAUUUUAUCCCACUGGAUCGGUUUAUUUGCUUACAGAGGUUAGUUUUCGUUCAUGUCAAAAGAACAAUCAUCGAACUUGUCCACUUUCAGUUUUUUUGCUGAUGAGUGAUAGAGGAGUUGAAUACAGUCAGAUGGUGUGUUUUACAGGAAUCUCAAUUUAUUUAGAGUUACAUAAUUGCUUGAGCAGUUCAAACAUUCAUCUUAGGCUCAUGUUCUGUCUGUUAUGUACUUCUGAUCUCACUCUCUGCGGUGUAUAUGCAGAAAAGAUCAGACAAAACUAACAAUGGAUUUUACCUAAUGCGAAAAAGUGAGAAAGCAACCAGAUGGUUUGUUUUGGUGUUACUUUCCUGAUUAUUGAAGAAUGGCUCAACCUUGAGCAUGGAAUAAAUAACUACAAUUAUGCUAAUAUAUAUAAACUACAUGCCAUUCAUCCUGCAACAAAACAACUAACUCUCUCAUCAACAAAGUCACUCUUGUUUAGCCUCAUGCCACUAAAUGUUAGUCUGGUGCUGCCAUUUCUGCAUUGUUCUUUUGGCAUUUUCAAUCUGGUGUUGCAUUAUUCUUGCCCGUCAUAAGUCUUACCUUUUGUCUUUGCUAAUUUGCUAGCUGGAAAGUGGAGUCUCGCCAUGAGAGGACGGGGUGCCCUCGUCUUUUGGUCGAAUCCCCUUACACAGACAAAACCU